UACGGGGGGAGCAAACGUUGUUCGGAAUCACUGGGCGUAAAGCGUGCGCAGGCGGUUUUGUAAGCCAGAUGUGAAAGCCCCGGGCUCAACCUGGGAAUGGCAUUUGGGACUGCAAGGCUUGAGUGCGGCAGAGGAGACUGGAAUUCCUGGUGUAGCAGUGAAAUGCGUAGAUAUCAGGAGGAAUACCGAUGGCGAAGGCAGGUCUCUGGGCUGACACUGACGCUCAUGCACGAAAGCGUGGGGAGCAAACAGG
Molecule: ribosomal RNA, 253 nt
Filed under: uncultured bacterium
Lineage: Bacteria
Description: partial 16S ribosomal RNA
Rfam family: Bacterial small subunit ribosomal RNA
Source: RNAcentral